AUUGAACGCUGGCGGCAGGCUUAACACAUGCAAGUCGAACGAGUGGCGGACGGGUGAGUAAUGCUUGGGAAUCUUGCUUAUGGAGGGGGAUAACUAAGGGAAACGGUAGCUAAUACCGCGUACCAUAGGAUGAGCCCAAGGGGGAUUAGGUAGUUGGUGAGGUAACGGCGCACCAAGCCGACGAUCUCUAGCUGGUCUGCGAGGAUGACCGGCCACACUGGGACUGAGACACGGCCCAGACUCCUACGGGAGGCAGCAGUGGGGAAUAUUGCGCAUGGGGGGCAGCCUGACGCAGCCAGGCCGCGUGAAUGAAUAAGGCCUUCGGGUUGUAAAGUUCUUUCGGUAGCGAGGCGUUAACUAAAGAAGAAGCAACGGCUAAAUCCGUGCCAGCAGCCGCGGUAAUUC
Molecule: ribosomal RNA, 405 nt
Filed under: uncultured bacterium
Lineage: Bacteria
Description: partial 16S ribosomal RNA
Rfam family: Bacterial small subunit ribosomal RNA
Source: RNAcentral